CUGGCUGGGGGAGAAGAGGAAAAUGUGUUCCAGAAGGAACUGUCUGA
This 47-nucleotide small nucleolar RNA is filed under the name Carlito syrichta (Philippine tarsier). RNAcentral describes it as "Small nucleolar RNA SNORD22 (ENSTSYG00000029831.1)". Lineage: Eukaryota; Metazoa; Chordata; Mammalia; Primates; Tarsiidae. The record is from RNAcentral.